UGGCGCCUGGUUUUUCUCGUGGACUUGUUAUUAAAUUACCUUUUGGAUUAUACCCCGUUGUCGUGCACAUUUGUGCAAUACCGCAUCACUAGUUACUGUCUCUUUAUUUAAGGAAUCUCUCUGCAACCAAGAGACAAUAGAGCACAGGAAAAAUUAUGUGUCCAGCUGAAUGUAUCUUGGGAGUCAAGAAUGCUUCAAAUGACAACACCUGAGAUUGUUCGUGUUGACAAUAAAGAAAGUGAGUCUUUUUUCCUGAAUAAAGCCAGCUGUGCUGUGGGUGUCAUUAGAGUCACAGAUGGAUGCAGCUCAAACUCUUGGUGAUGUGGGGAGGGCUCCAGAAAGGAGUUUGUUUUGUACCCUAUUUCUGAGUCAACAUUGCCAGGAGGAAUGUCACUAGUCAGAGAAAUCCUCUAUUGAUCUCUCUCCAGGGGCAUCAGCAUAUCCAUAACUGGA
Triplophysa rosa is the source of this 453-nucleotide long non-coding RNA. RefSeq lists it as uncharacterized. The record is from RefSeq and is a predicted model, not a curated record. NCBI's taxonomy places the organism in Eukaryota, Metazoa, Chordata, Actinopteri, Cypriniformes, Nemacheilidae. The transcript is spliced from 3 exons.